RNAcentral lists this ribosomal RNA (1438 nucleotides) under human gut metagenome. Its description in RNAcentral is "bacterial LSU rRNA". It matches the Rfam family "Bacterial large subunit ribosomal RNA", at positions 671 to 2122 of the family's 2925-position model. The record is from RNAcentral.
GGGAAACCGAGUCUUAAUAGGGCGCAUUAGUAUCAUGUCGUAGACCCGAAACCAUGUGACCUACCCAUGAGCAGGUUGAAGGUGAGGUAAAACUCACUGGAGGACCGAACCAGGGCACGUUGAAAAGUGCUUGGAUGACUUGUGGGUAGCGGAGAAAUUCCAAACGAACUUGGAGAUAGCUGGUUCUCUCCGAAAUAGCUUUAGGGCUAGCGUCGAUGUUAAGUCUCUUGGAGGUAGAGCACUGUUUGGGUGAGGGGUCCAUCCCGGAUUACCAAUCUCAGAUAAACUCCGAAUGCCAACGAGAUAUAAUCGGCAGUCAGACUGCGAGUGCUAAGAUCCGUAGUCGAAAGGGAAACAGCCCAGACCACCAGCUAAGGUCCCAAAAUAUAUGUUAAGUGGAAAAGGAUGUGGGGUUGCACAGACAACUAGGAUGUUAGCUUAGAAGCAGCUAUUCAUUCAAAGAGUGCGUAAUAGCUCACUAGUCGAGUGACCCUGCGCCGAAAAUGUACCGGGGCUAAAACAUAUUACCGAAGCUGUGGAUACCUUUAUAGGUAUGGUAGGAGAGCGUUCUAUGUGCGAAGAAGGUGUACCGUGAGGAGUGCUGGAGCGCAUAGAAGUGAGAAUGCCGGUAUGAGUAGCGAAAGACAGGUGAGAAUCCUGUCCACCGUAAGACUAAGGUUUCCAGGGGAAGGCUCGUCCGCCCUGGGUUAGUCGGGACCUAAGGAGAGACCGAAAGGUGUAUCCGAUGGACAACAGGUUGAUAUUCCUGUACUAGAGUAUAUAGUGAUGGAGGGACGCAGUAGGCUAACUAAACCAGACGAUUGGAAGUGUCUGGCCAAGCAGUGAGGUGUGAUAUGAGUCAAAUGCUUAUAUCUAUAACAUUGAGCUGUGAUGGGGAGCGAAGUUUAGUAGCGAAGUUAGUGAUGUCACACUGCCGAGAAAAGCUUCUAGCGUUAAUUAUACUCUACCCGUACCGCAAACCGACACAGGUAGUCGAGGCGAGUAGCCUCAGGUGAGCGAGAGAACUCUCGUUAAGGAACUCGGCAAAAUGGCCCCGUAACUUCGGGAGAAGGGGCGCUGACUUAUGGUCAGCCGCAGUGAAUAGGCCCAAGCAACUGUUUAUCAAAAACACAGCUCUCUGCUAAAUCGUAAGAUGAUGUAUAGGGGGUGACGCCUGCCCGGUGCUGGAAGGUUAAGAGGAGUGCUUAGCAAUAGCGAAGGUAUGAAUUGAAGCCCCAGUAAACGGCGGCCGUAACUAUAACGGUCCUAAGGUAGCGAAAUUCCUUGUCGGGUAAGUUCCGACCCGCACGAAAGGCGUAAUGAUUUGGGCACUGUCUCAACGAGAGACUCGGUGAAAUUUUAGUACCUGUGAAGAUGCAGGUUACCCGCGACAGGACGGAAAGACCCCAUGGAGCUUUACUGCAGUUUGAUAUUGAGU